Molecule: transfer RNA, 71 nt
Filed under: Anaerococcus lactolyticus ATCC 51172
Lineage: Bacteria; Bacillati; Bacillota; Tissierellia; Tissierellales; Peptoniphilaceae
Rfam family: tRNA
About the family: Transfer RNA (tRNA) molecules are approximately 80 nucleotides in length. Their secondary structure includes four short double-helical elements and three loops (D, anti-codon, and T loops).
Source: Rfam by way of RNAcentral
GCGUCCUUAGUUUAGUGGCAAAAUAAGGGUGUCCGAAGCCCAAGACCAGGGUUCGAUUCCCUGAGGACGUG